Molecule: ribosomal RNA, 496 nt
Filed under: uncultured bacterium
Lineage: Bacteria
Description: partial 16S ribosomal RNA
Rfam family: Bacterial small subunit ribosomal RNA
Source: RNAcentral
AUGAACGCUGGCGGCGUGCCUCAUACCUGCAAGUCGAGCGCACGGACGAGAAGCUUGCUUUUCUGAUGUUAGCGGCGGACGGGUGAGUAACACGUGGAUAACCUACCUAUAAGACUGGGAUAACUUCGGGAAACCGGAGCUAAUACCGGAUAAUAUUUUGAACCGCAUGGUUCAAAAGUGAAAGACGGUCUUGCUGUCACUUAUAGAUGGAUCCGCGCUGCAUUAGCUAGUUGGUAAGGUAACGGCUUACCAAGGCAACGAUGCAUAGCCGACCUGAGAGGGUGAUCGGCCACACUGGAACUGAGACACGGUCCAGACUCCUACGGGAGGCAGCAGUAGGGAAUCUUCCGCAAUGGGCGAAAGCCUGACGGAGCAACGCCGCGUGAGUGAUGAAGGUCUUCGGAUCGUAAAACUCUGUUAUUAGGGAAGAACAUAUGUGUAAGUAACUGUGCACAUCUUGACGGUACCUAAUCAGAAAGCCACGGCUAACUACGUG